UACGUAGGGUGCAAGCGUUGUCCGGAAUCAUUGGGCGUAAAGCGCGCGUAGGUGGCUUCGUAAGUCCGUUGUGAAAGUCAAAGGCUCAACCUUUGAAUGCCGAUGGAUACUGCGAAGCUAGAGUACGGAAGAGGCGAGUGGAAUUCCUGGUGUAGCGGUGGAAUGCGCAGAUAUCAGGAGGAACACCAAUAGCGAAGGCAGCUCGCUGGGACGUUACUGACACUAAGGCGCGAAAGCGUGGGGAGCAAACAGGG
This 254-nucleotide ribosomal RNA is filed under the name uncultured bacterium. RNAcentral describes it as "partial 16S ribosomal RNA". It matches the Rfam family "Bacterial small subunit ribosomal RNA", at positions 524 to 777 of the family's 1533-position model. The record is from RNAcentral.